GUCUACGUCACGGGUCACGUGUCCCUCAGGUGUCACGUGCCUGCCGAAGUCAGGUGAUUCGCUGGGGCAGGAUGGCGGCGGCUCGGAGCUCCUGCAGUCUGGAGACUUUACUGAAUGAGGUGACUGAUCCGGAGAACGUUUCUGAGAGAUGGGACAGCAUUCAGGAGUUUUAUCAGCUGGUGAACUCGGAGCCGGAUGGUCCUCAGGUCGCUCUGCGUUUGUUGGCUCAUAAGAUCCAGUCUCCUCAGGAAAGAGAAGCUCUCCAGACUCUGACUCUGCUGGAGGCCUGCAUGAAUAACUGUGGGAAACGGUUCCGUGCUGAAGCUACAAAGUUCCGCUUCCUCAAUGAACUCAUUAAAGUUCUUUCACCAAAGUUUUUGGGUUCCUGGAGUUCUGCUCAGGUGAAGGAGAAGAUAACUGAGGUUCUGUACAGCUGGACUCAGUGGCUGAAGGACGAGCCGAAGGUGCAGGAGGCAUAUCGUAUGCUGAAGAAACAAGGUCUGGUGAAGAGUGACCCGAAGCUGCCAGACAGCGUGUUGAUGCCUCCUCCAUCUCCGAGACAGGAAGUGUCAGUGUUUGAUGAUGAAGACAAAGCGAAGCUGCUGUCCAGGCUCCUGAAGAGUGGACGGCCUGAAGACCUGGAGACAGCUAACAGACUCAUCAAGAGCACCGUCAGGGAGGAGCAGGAGAAGAUGGAGAAAGAGGGCAGGCGUAUCAGCACUUUAGAGGAAGUGGAGAAAUGCACGUCAGAGCUACGACUGUUACUGAACCAACACACACACCACACCGCGGAGAUGAAGGACCUGUACGAGCGCUGUGAUCGUCUGAGGCCAAACCUGUUCAGACUGGCCAGCGACACCCUGGAGGACGAUGAGACUUUAGCUGGAAUUCUGAAGUGGAAUGAUGAGCUGAGCCAUGUGAUGAACCAGUACAGAGAGAGAACGCAGCAAGAAGAAAGAGAGAUGGGGGCGGAGCCUAUGCACAACAACGACAACAGCCAGGAGCCUGUCAGUCCUAUCAGGACAUACCACCUCAUUAACUUCUCUGUGCCGGGGGACAGCGCCCCCUGUGGCCACACUGAGGAUGGCGGCUCUCUGAUCCUGUUGGACGAGGACAGCGAUCCUGCCUACGAUUCCUGCAGUCCGAGAACAGAGGGAACGAAAUCGUACCUGGAUGAGCUCAUACAGCUGGAUCACGCAGUGAGAGUUUCAGGCAGUAUGGAGACGACCUGUGGGAACAGAGACUACAGUACCCACAAUGCACCAGUAUUAUCUGCCAUGGAGGAGCACAUGACUAGAUCAGAAUUCAUUCAGCCAAUCAUUACUCCAGGUUUCCCCAAGCCCCUCCCACCCACCUCACUUCAGGACAUCCAUGUGCCUCUUGGAUCCAUUAAGCCCAGUCACUUAAAGCCGAUAACAGUUUUUGACCGUCACAGUGUUCGUGUGUCUCUACACUUCACCAAAGAAACUCCGCCAUCUCGGCCUGACGUCGCCGCCUUCGUCAUCUCUGCUGUCAACACCUCUGCACUUCCUGUUUCUGACUUCCUGUUCCUGGCUGCUGUUCCCAAGUCAUUCUCAGCUCUCAUGUCUCUCUCUCUCUUCGUGUCCAUGCGCUUCGUCCUCCUGCUUUCCAGACCAUGCAGCUGAAGCUGCAGCCGGCCACAGGAACUGCUCUGCCUCCGUACAGCCCUCUGCUGCCCCCUGCUGCCAUCUCCCAGAUACUGCUGCUCUCCAACCCCCUCAGGAAGCCGGUCCGAGUGCGUUUCAGGCUGACUCUGACGCUCGGAGGGGAGACGCUCAAGCAGGACGGAGAAAUCGACCAGUUCCCGGAGUGGGACAGCUGGACUGACUUUUGACCUUCGCCCUUUGAGCUGCACAAUGAAUGCCCUCUCACUCGUGCCUUAAUCAGUGUUCCUUCCUGAAUGUCUCCCUGCUGAGUUUUAUACGUUUUAUAUUGUAUUUAUGUCUUCAUGUCUGAUUUAUAAACUCCGAGCUGGACAGUUUAAACUGCUGAAAUGUGUUAAAGUGCCAAAUAAACUCUCUGAGCUGA
RNA transcript from Pygocentrus nattereri (red-bellied piranha), 2049 nucleotides. It is a transcript of the gene named ADP-ribosylation factor-binding protein GGA3-like, with no coding region annotated. Lineage: Eukaryota; Metazoa; Chordata; Actinopteri; Characiformes; Serrasalmidae. The record is from RefSeq and is a predicted model, not a curated record. The transcript is spliced from 17 exons.